Long non-coding RNA from Oncorhynchus mykiss (rainbow trout), 1578 nucleotides. NCBI's taxonomy places the organism in Eukaryota, Metazoa, Chordata, Actinopteri, Salmoniformes, Salmonidae. The record is from Ensembl.
AUGGUUCCAGACAUUCAACAUUCUACAGAACACAGGUCCAGACAUUCAACAUUCUACAGAACACAGGUCCAGACAUUCUACAUUCUACAGAACACAGGUCCAGACAUUCUACAGAACAUAGGUCCAGACAUUCUACAUUCUACAGAACACAGGUCCAGACAUUCUACAGAACACAGGUCCAGACAUUCUACAGAACACAGGUCCAGACAUUCUACAGAACACAGGUCCAGAUAUUCUACAGAACACAGAUCCAGACAUUCUACAGAACACAGAUCCAGACAUUCUCCAUUCUACAGAAAAUGGUUCCAGACAUUCAACAUUCUACAGAACACAGGUCCAGACAUUCUACAGAACACAGGUCCAGACAUUCUACAGAACACAGGUCCAGACAUUCUACAGAACACAGGUCCAGACAUUCUCCAUUCUACAGAAAAUGGUUCCAGACAUUCAACAUUCUACAGAACACAGGUCCAGACAUUCUACAGAACACAGGUCCAGACAUUUUACAGAACACAGGUCCAGACAUUCUACAGAACACAGAUCCAGACAAUCUCCAUUCUACAGAUAAUGGUUCCAGACAUUCAACAUUCUACAGAACACUGGUCCAGACAUUCUACAUUCUACAGAACACAGGUCCAGACAUUCUACAGAACACAGGUCCAGACAUUCUACAGAACACAGAUCCAGACAUUCAACAUUCUACAGAACACUGGUCAAGACAUUCUACAUUCUACAGAACACAGGUCCAGACAUUCUACAGAACACAGGUCCAGACAUUCUACAGAACACAGGUCCAGACAUUCUACAGAACACAGGUCCAGACAUUCUACAGAACACAGGUCCAGACAUUCGACAGAACACAGAUCCAGACAUUCUCCAUUCUACAGAAAAUGGUUCCAGACAUUCAACAUUCUACAGAACACAGGUCCAGACAUUCUACAGAACACAGGUCCAGACAUUCUACAGAACACAGGUCCAGACAUUCUACAGAACACAGGUCCAGACAUUCUACAGAACACAGGUCCAGACAUUCUCCAUUCUACAGAAAAUGGUUCCAGACAUUCAACAUUCUACAGAACACAGGUCCAGACAUUCUACAGAACACAGGUCCAGACAUUCUACAGAACACAGGUCCAGACAUUCUACAGAACACAGAUCCAGACAUUCGACAGAACACAGAUCCAGACAUUCUCCAUUCUACAGAUAAUGGUUCCAGACAUUCUCCAUUCUACAGAUAAUGGUUCCAGACAUUCAACAUUCUACAGAACACUGGUCCAGACAUUCUACAUUCUACAGAACACUGGUCCAGACAUUCUACAUUCUACAGAUAAUGCUUCCGGACAUUCGACAUUCUACGGAACACUGGUCCAGACAUUCUACGGAACACAGGUCCAGACAUUCUACAUUCUACGGAACACUGGUCCAGACAUUCUCCAUUCUACAGAUAAUGGUUCCAGACAUUCUCCAUUCUACAGAACACUGGUCCAGACAUUCUACAUUCUUCAGAACAUUGGUCCAGACAUUCUGAAGAACACUGGUCCAGACAUUCUACAGAACACUGGUCCAGACAUUCUAUAG